RNAcentral lists this ribosomal RNA (253 nucleotides) under uncultured Bacteroides sp. RNAcentral describes it as "partial 16S ribosomal RNA". It matches the Rfam family "Bacterial small subunit ribosomal RNA", at positions 524 to 776 of the family's 1533-position model. The record is from RNAcentral. Lineage: Bacteria; Pseudomonadati; Bacteroidota; Bacteroidia; Bacteroidales; Bacteroidaceae.
UACGGGGGAUGCGAGCGUUAUCCGGAUUUAUUGGGUUUAAAGGGUGCGUAGGCGGCGCUUCAGGUCAGCGGUGAAAGUCUGUGGCUCAACCAUAGAAUUGCCGUUGAAACUGGGGGGCUUGAGUACAGUAGAGGUGGGCGGAAUUCGUGGUGUAGCGGUGAAAUGCUUAGAUAUCACGAAGAACUCCGAUUGCGAAGGCAGCUCACUGGACUGCAACUGACACUGAGGCUCGAAAGUGUGGGUAUCAAACAGG